Molecule: long non-coding RNA, 556 nt
Organism: Lycium ferocissimum
Lineage: Eukaryota; Viridiplantae; Streptophyta; Magnoliopsida; Solanales; Solanaceae
Exons: 2
Source: RefSeq, a predicted model, not a curated record
UGGCAUUUAUCUUUUUUCUCAAUUUUUUGACAUUUUCCUCUUCAUUUCUCUAUUUAAUUAAAUAAAAUUAAAAUUAAAGGUUUCAUCCCUCCACCCAAUAAAGACUCACUCACCAUUUAAUAGCUUUAUAUUUGCCAUCACUUACCACUAGUAAUUACACCUAUUCAAAAUAUUAAAAUCAUAUAAAACAGUCAACUAAAUAAAAAAUGGUUAUAGAAACUCAAAAGUCACACCACUUCAAUAUAAUUUAAGGGUUGUCCGUGGAAAGCAUGCAGUUGCUUGUCUCCCAUUUCUAUUUUGGGGUCAGAUUGUAAGGAAACUCAUGACUUUUGAAGAAAAAAAUCACCUUACUACAGGCUGGGCUGUCAACAGGGUUGCCAACUCUGUGCAACAUAUUUCUUCUUGGUUGAGAUGUGAUGGAUAUUAUUUUCUGUUCUCUUCUUUGAUUCAUUUUCAGGAGAGAUUUUAUAGUAAUAUUACAUUCCAAUUUCCCUGGUACAAAAAUAGAAGUACAUUACUCUACUUUUCAUAUUUACCUGAAUGGAUUUUCCUUUUC